RNAcentral lists this ribosomal RNA (466 nucleotides) under uncultured bacterium. RNAcentral describes it as "partial 16S ribosomal RNA". It matches the Rfam family "Bacterial small subunit ribosomal RNA", at positions 29 to 506 of the family's 1533-position model. The record is from RNAcentral.
ACGAACGCUGGCGGCGUGCUUCACACAUGCAAGUCGAACGGAAAGGCCCUGCUUUUGUGGGGUGCUCGAGUGGCGAACGGGUGAGUAACACGUGAGUAACCUGCCCUUGACUUUGGGAUAACUUCAGGAAACUGGGGCUAAUACCGGAUAGGAGCUCCUGCUGCAUGGUGGGGGUUGGAAAGUUUCGGCGGUUGGGGAUGGACUCGCGGCUUAUCAGCUUGUUGGUGGGGUAGUGGCUUACCAAGGCUUUGACGGGUAGCCGGCCUGAGAGGGUGACCGGCCACAUUGGGACUGAGAUACGGCCCAGACUCCUACGGGAGGCAGCAGUGGGGAAUAUUGCACAAUGGGCGGAAGCCUGAUGCAGCAACGCCGCGUGCGGGAUGACGGCCUUCGGGUCGUAAACCGCUUUCGCCUGUGACGAAGCGUGAGUGACGGUAAUGGGUAAAGAAGCACCGGCUAACUACGU